GAUGAAGAACGUAGCGAAAUGCGAUACUUGGUGUGAAUUGCAGAAUCCCGUGAACCAUCGAGUCUUUGAACGCAAGUUGCGCCUCAAGCCAUUAGGUUGAGGGCACGUCUGCCUGGGCGUCACAUAUCGUUGCCUGAUGUCAGUUUCCUCGUGAUGGGUGACUGUGCAGGGCGAAUGAUGGCUUCCCGUGAGCAUUGUUGCCUCAUGGUUGGUUGAAAAUUGAGUCCUUGGUAGGGAGCGCCGUGAUAGAUGGUGGUUGAGUGACGAACGAGACCCAAUCAUGUGAGACCCCUACCGAAUUUGGCCUUCAUGACCCACAUGCGUCUUUGGAACGCUCAUGACGAGACCUCAGGUCAGGCGGGGCUACCCGCUGAGUUUAAGCAUAUCAAUAAGCGGAGGA
Molecule: unclassified non-coding RNA, 400 nt
Filed under: soil metagenome
Description: partial contains 5.8S ribosomal RNA, internal transcribed spacer 2, and large subunit ribosomal RNA
Rfam family: 5.8S ribosomal RNA (bases 1-122)
Source: RNAcentral